RNAcentral lists this ribosomal RNA (425 nucleotides) under uncultured bacterium. RNAcentral describes it as "bacterial SSU rRNA". It matches the Rfam family "Bacterial small subunit ribosomal RNA", at positions 34 to 507 of the family's 1533-position model. The record is from RNAcentral.
CGCUGGCGGCAGGCCUAACACAUGCAAGUCGAACGCCCCGCAAGGGGAGUGGCAGACGGGUGAGUAACGCGUGGGAACCUACCCUAAGGUGCGGAAUAGCCCAGGGAAACUUGGAGUAAUACCGCAUAAGCCCGCAAGGGGAAAGAUUUAUCGCCUUUGGAUGGGCCCGCGUCUGAUUAGCUAGUUGGUGAGGUAAUGGCUCACCAAGGCGACGAUCAGUAGCUGGUCUUAGAGGAUGAUCAGCCACACUGGGACUGAGACACGGCCCAGACUCCUACGGGAGGCAGCAGUGGGGAAUAUUGGACAAUGGGCGCAAGCCUGAUCCAGCCAUGCCGCGUGAGUGACGAAGGCCUUAGGGUUGUAAAGCUCUUUUGGCGGGGACGAUAAUGACGGUACCCGCAGAAUAAGCCCCGGCUAACUUCGUG